RNAcentral lists this ribosomal RNA (253 nucleotides) under uncultured bacterium. Its description in RNAcentral is "partial 16S ribosomal RNA". It matches the Rfam family "Bacterial small subunit ribosomal RNA", at positions 524 to 776 of the family's 1533-position model. The record is from RNAcentral.
UACGAAGUGUGCAAGCGUUACUCGGAAUUACUGGGCGUAAAGCGUGCGUAGGUGGUUCGUUAAGUCUGAUGUGAAAGCCCUGGGCUCAACCUGGGAAUGGCAUUGGAAACUGGCGACCUAGAGUGCGGUAGAGGGUAGUGGAAUUCCCGGUGUAGCAGUGAAAUGCGUAGAGAUCGGGAGGAACAUCUGUGGCGAAGGCGACUGCCUGGACCAGCACUGACACUGAGGCACGAAAGCGUGGGGAGCAAACAGG